AAUAUUUGUCAAUGGAGGCAACUCUGAACCAGCCAUGCCGCGUGCAGGAUGACGGUCCUAUGGAUUGUAAACUGCUUUUGUACAGGAAGAAAAAGAGCUACGAGUAGCUUAUUGACGCUACUGUAAGAAUAAGGAUCGCCUCACUCCGUGCCGGCGGCCGCGGUAAUACGGAGGAUCCAAGCGUUAUCAGGAAUCAUUGUGUUUAAAGGGUACGUAGGCGGCCUUAUAAGUCAGCGGUGAAAGUUUUUGGCUUAACCAAAAAAUUGCCGUUGAUACUGUAGGGCUUGAAUUUUUGUGAAGUAACUAGAAUAUGUAGUGAAGCGGUGAAAUGCUUAGAUAUUACAUGGAAUACCAAUUGCGAAGGCAGGUUACUAACAAACGAUUGACGCUGAUGGACGAAAGCGUGGGUAGCGAACA
RNAcentral lists this ribosomal RNA (417 nucleotides) under uncultured bacterium. RNAcentral's name for it is "partial 16S ribosomal RNA". It matches the Rfam family "Bacterial small subunit ribosomal RNA", at positions 360 to 774 of the family's 1533-position model. The record is from RNAcentral.